Molecule: long non-coding RNA, 817 nt
Organism: Arabidopsis lyrata subsp. lyrata
Lineage: Eukaryota; Viridiplantae; Streptophyta; Magnoliopsida; Brassicales; Brassicaceae
Exons: 2
Source: RefSeq, a predicted model, not a curated record
UGGGUAUGUUUCUUAAAUUGGGCUUUUGUGAAUAAAUAAAUGGGCUUCAUUGCCCAAGUUUAUUUUGACGUUUUGAGAAAUUGUAUUUUGACGAAACUCUUCUUCUUAAAAGAAUAAGUCAAAGAACGUGACCACGCCGCAGUUCUCUCUGUUUGGUUUGCAACGGUGAGGAGAGAUAGGUCAUUGGAUCUCGGAUGUUAUGGCUAAAAUCUUUGAUGAGAAGCUCGAUCUUGUGCCUAUUUAAAGGAGAGUCUAGUCUUCAAUUUCAUCAUGGAGAUUACAUCUCUCUCUUCUAUUUUCUUCUUCUUCUUCUUCUAUAUUUCUGAGUUUGAGUUUGAGAGCUUCAUCUCUUUUGGGUUGAGUGCACAACACAAUUGAGAGCAGAGUGAACCCUGGAGUGAGCCGUCUUGGUUAUCUUGCACACCGGGAUUAGGCGGUUUUUCGCUCAAGUGCAGUAGAUUCUCUACGGCUCUGCGACUUUCGUUCUUUGUCAAUUCUGGAAGACGCAUUGGCGUUAAUUUCCACGAUUCAAUGCAACAGUGGCCACAACGCAAUGGGACAGUGAGAGAUUUCUCUUUUGUUCUGCAUUUUGAUUCGGACAUGAAAUCUAAACAUCGAUAAAGAUGGGACACGACGAAACGUAGAAAGUGGCAAACAAAGCUGAUAAUAUCUAAAAGGAGAUAUAUCAGAUAAACAAUCCCUGGCGAUAAAUUCUCAAGUCCUUUUGGUACCUUUUCAUCAUAUGAAUUCAACUUUUUUGUUUACUUUAAUAUUUUGGGGGAUGAGUGUGAGAAACUGAAAAUGGUUUUAGGAUUUA